GACGAACGCUGGCGGCGUGCUUAACACAUGCAAGUCGAACGGAAAGGCCCUGCUUUUGUGGGGUGCUCGGGUGGCGAACGGGUGAGUAACACGUGAGUAACCUGCCCUUGACUUUGGGAUAACUUCAGGAAACUGGGGCUAAUACCGGAUAGGAGCUCCUGCUGCAUGGUGGGGGUUGGAAAGUUUCGGCGGUUGGGGAUGGACUCGCGGCUUAUCAGCUUGUUGGUGGGGUAGUGGCUUACCAAGGCUGUGACGGGUAGCCGGCCUGAGAGGGUGACCGGCCACAUUGGGACUGAGAUACGGCCCAGACUCCUACGGGAGGCAGCAGUGGGGAAUAUUGCACAAUGGGCGGAAGCCUGAUGCAGCAACGCCGCGUGCGGGAUGACGGCCUUCGGGUUGUAAACCGCUUUCGCCUGUGACGAAGCGUGAGUGACGGUAAUGGGUAAAGAAGCACCGGCUAACUACGUG
This 468-nucleotide ribosomal RNA is filed under the name uncultured bacterium. RNAcentral's name for it is "partial 16S ribosomal RNA". It matches the Rfam family "Bacterial small subunit ribosomal RNA", at positions 28 to 507 of the family's 1533-position model. The record is from RNAcentral.